CGUGAUCCGCCCACCUCAGCCUCCCAAAGUGCUGGGAUUACAGGCGUGAGCCACCGCACCUGGCCAAGAAGCAUUUUCUAAACUAAUCUUCUCCUACAAAUAGCCCCUGGACCUUGAGGAUCAUAAAUGGUCAUCAUUUAACAUUUUUUUCUGCUAGAAGUAUUGAGCCUCUUUGUUGUAUUGAGACCAAAAGAAGAUCUGUCACCCCCCUCCACUCCCCUACAGAUGUACAUACAACUUUCGGCAAUCUCAGAGAGUUUGAAGCUACAAUUCUAUUACAAACGACGUGCUACAAGUAUGCUUUUAAAAUAAAUUAUUUUUCCAGUUUUUUCACUUUAACCUCUGCCCCAGUGGUCGUAAAAACAGAGGCAUGGAGACUGAGUUCUUUUCUGUGGACCAUUAUGCAUCUAUCUUUUCCAAUAGUUUCCUUUGCCUCUGCUCUUUUUUGCUGUACAAAGACAGAAAUUUCUAAACAGAGCCUUUAAUAGUCCAUUACUUUUUACCCAUGUUAUGCAAUGUAGCUUUAAAGACGAACUUUUCCAGCAAACUGCUGCUUGUGUGAAUGCCUGUUUGGGAGUGAGACUUCCCUACUGGAAAAAUAACUAACACACACUACACCAUAGUUACGAUUACAUCACAAUAAAUAUUCUAUGCAGGACUAGGAACAGUUCCUCAAAGAAAAAUGCUUGGGGAACGGGUAAUUGGAAUGAACUACAAGCAUUUUCACUGAGCUCAAAGAAACUGCAAGAAAAAAGAUCUUCGAUCUGCAUCCAAGUAUUUUUUUUGUCUGAAAGAACACUGUGUGAGGAAUUUUGACAUUCUCUGCAUUCUAAUGAAAAUGACUUGGAAAGUAGAGGCUUCUCUAUACAUUUGCCUCAUUGCCGCCACGAUGGGCACCGUUUAUCAGGAAUAAAGAGAGAAGAUCAAGAAAGUAGUUCUUUUCUGGAGAAUUUUGUGCUCUGGCUCUUAAGUACUUUUGCUUUGCCAUGAAUGUGAAUAUUUUAAAGGCCAAAAAAGCCCCCUCCAUUUGAGUUGCAGAUGGCCACAGGAACCCAACAAGAAUGCUAACAACUCAUUUUAAAAAGGGAAAAAGAAAGGAAGUGCCAAGUUCCACACUGCAUAUCCAUACUGAUGUUGAGCCCAUCUUGGCCUAGCUGGUAGAACUGAAAAUUGAGAAUAAUAUUAAGGGGCUGCAAUGAUCCCUAAGGGUAAAAAUAAAUGUGUUUCUGAAAACAACAGCCACAUCCACAAUGAAAUAGACAUGAAACAAGAUAACCCAAGAACACAUUUGUUUUCCUUGUAACAGGGAUGCGUUAAGUUCAUUAUUCAGAGGACUUUGAUUACCCUUUUCAAAGAUUUUUGGGUGACAGUGAUCCAGGAUGAAGGUCCUUUGACUAUACAUUUCAGCGUUCAAUUGAGUGUUGGAAGCAAUCAGAAGACUGGAAGCAAUUUACUAAUAAGAGAACAUGCCCUACAGCUCUGGCCUGUGAAAAGAGUUUCAGAAUCACGAUGUAGCCACAAGUCAAAUUCUAGAAAGAAUUAAUGGCACAUCUCAUAGUUCUUUCAUUUGCUGGCUGAUUCAUUCCAGAGUGGUUUUGAGGACAGAAUGAAGCAAGAUGAAAAACAGCACUUUGAAAAUGGAGUGUGUGGUAUUCAUCUUAGAUACACUUUUAGAGAAGAAGAAAUGUGUCUCAGAAAAAGGACCUCUUCUGACUCAAAUUUAGCUUACAUCCCCUUCUCAACCAUAUCCCAGGUGAUAAAAUAUGACACCCAGCAGAAAUUCCAUCCAAACACAGGAAAGAAGCAGGCCCGGGGGCUUGGAGAUGAUACUUGUCCAGAAAUCCCAUGAUUAUUUUGCUAUAGCAGACGAUGACCUUCUCAAAGGAAGCCUAUCAAACGCUCAAGAUAAAUAAUGAGAAGGUCUCUCUCUCCUGCCUCCAGGAAAAAACUGCACAGAGGAAAAAUGUUUGCUAAACCAUUAAUAUGUUCAUCCCAGGAUGGGAAGCAGCUUGGUCUAAAAGAAACAGAGUGGCACAUGUGUUUGUGUGUGACCAGUGGCCCCAUUCAACAGGACUCCUGGGGCAGCAUCCAUGGAGGGGCCUCAGGAGACACACCUAAGCCCUUUACCCAGUAACGUCGGAAAUGAAUGUUUCUCUGGUGGCAGACAGGGUACCUUCUAAACCUCUUGACUCAUGAGCAAAUUAACUCAAGGUAAGGAAGCACUGGGUAAUGCCGUCUCUCAACAACCUAGAAAAAACAUGGUUCUGCUUUACUAGGCCCUGGAACUACAAUUAAUGGUAAUGAAUUCCCUCUUCCCUCACAUUCCCACCUUCCCACCAGGCAGCAAAUACUCAGGUGGCAAAAGAAGCUUUCUGUCUGUUUUUCUCCCCAUGGAAGCAAGGUUUCGCAGAGUAGGUAGAGAGCUGCAGUAGAAAUUGCAACUUUCCCAUGAUUUAAGUGCUUUGGCUGCCCUGGAGAAUGGGGCUGAUUUCUCAGGGCAAAAGUCAACUCUCCAUCCAUUUAUGGCUCUUGUCCAAUCUAUGGACAGCUGAAGACACAGAUCUUAACUCCAGGAGUUGGUGUAAGAUCCUUCCCAGCAGUGAAAUGGAAAGAGUUUUCAAAGACAUAGGGUCCUCUAUGGGAAGAGGUGGGAGAGUCAGGAGGUGAGGAAGAAAAUUUUCUAUUCCAAGGCAAGCUCAGGAAUCAAUGGGCUGAACCAAGUAGUACCCAAUGGCUGGGUAGGGGCAAGGGUAAAAAAGCAAUCUCAAAAGUAAUCAGGAUUCAAAUGAUCCAGGGAUUUGCAGAUAAAAUUAAAACUGCUCAGCAACACUUCAGGAGAAAAAGUCAGUAGCAUGCAGAUAGUUAUCAAGCACAUUAUUUUGCCAGCCAGCUGAGGAUGGCAGCAAGCUAAAUUUUGAGUCCAGAAAGGUGGUUAGGGUUUCUGUGCUCUGGAUUGUACAUCUUCCUCUCUCUAACUUGUUCUCCCCACCUUUUAGGAUGGCCAACACCCUCUUAUCACUUGAGACUCAGAAGAAGGGAAAUCUCCUCUGAAUUCUUUUCUGACCAGGGGCCCUGAUGACUGCCCCUUGUUGUCCCUUCAUCCCUGUGUGGACCAUUCUCAUGGCAUGGUGGGUAUUUACUGUGUAUAUCGGUUGCCAUAGCUCAGUCUCCCUUGUAGGGACUGAACCUAUUUAUCUUCACAUCUCUUGUGGCCAGAACACACCUGGCAUAUAGGUGGUCCAUAAAUGCUAGUGGAAUAAAAGGAGGAUGCUAAUUAUGUUUAUUUACUGGUCAUCCUUUUCCCCCCUAUCACUUUAACUUUCACCUCUCUAAUGCCCUUUAAUGUCCUUGAAAGCGAUUGAAUUCCUAAGACAAGCUGCCAUACUUUCUGGUGGAGAAUACACAUUUAUUUCCUGAAGGGUAGUUAAUGUCUAAUCACCCAGAAGACAUUUAGGUUUCUUUUAUUUAGAAAGCGGAGAUAAUAACUCCCCCAGUAAGUAAACAGGAAAAUAGACUUUGUUCUUCAAAAAAAAUUUGAUUAACAUAGUUUCAAGGAACAUUUCUACUGUUGUAAACCAAGGUUCUUGAAAUAAUCAACAACAUUACAGAUUGCAAGGUUAGAGAUUAAAACAUGCAAAAUAAGUGGAAUCAUACCAUUUAGCAAUGGAAAGACAGACUAUGUCGGUGAGGUGUUUUAAAUACCCAAACAGUUUUAUGACAAAAAAAAUCCUCACUAUAAACAAAAUGAAUUAGGGAUUUGCCUUGGAAUGAAGGUUUAAAAAUAAUGGGAUGAGUUUAAAGAAUACUGCAGGCCCUUAAAGACGAUGAGAGAUUUUGAGAGGCCUGAGUGACUUCAGUGGGGUCCAUCCCUAAAAUAAUGAAGGACUAAGUAAGUCAAACCUUAGGGUCGCCUCUGCAGAUCUUUAGCCUGGCCUGUGCAAUUGUAUUGCACAGAGGAAUACAAUAUGGCAGGAACAGACCAAUGUAACAGGUAGCAAUUGUUCACGCACCAGAUCUGGCACCAGCUACCAGAGGGAGGGUGAAAGAGGGGAAAAUUAUCUUUUCUUCAACUCUGUGAAGACUUAGAGUUUCAGAUAGUUAAAUGUGAGUGGGCUGGUGUUUCCUCUUUGCUAGAUUUAGUGUGUGCGGUUUCUCUGCCAUGUAUAUCUAUAGUUCUCUAAAGUGACUGGAGAAAUACUUUUCCUUAAAUCAGUGGUAAAGAAGUUACUGGCAAAAUGUCCCUUAAAUAUUCCUGUUGGGUGCUACCAAAGGAUUAUUUAAAAUCAUGAAAAUAAUCCAAAAGCUGCUCCCACUGGAAAAUGACUAGGAGAAAGAUGUUUAAAUUCAAAACUGCUAAGCACGGACACCUACCUAAACACACACACACACACACACACACACACACACACACACACACACCCUUCCUCUGAAGCUUUCCAGGGAUAGCUAUAGAAAUUUCAUUUUAAGCAAGGGAAAAAAAAAUAGAAUCACCCCCUCACAAAAAUGUUUGAGUAUAUUUUGGUCUCUUGGUCAGGGCCAAUAAAGAUCUCUUGUUGUGAGCCAACUAGAACAGAAAUGGAGUGAGAGAUGUACUACUUUAUGUGGUCUGAAUGUGAUUAGCGAUUAGCGCUGGUGGCUUCAGUCACUUGGGAAUGGCAAUCAGGGUUUUGCUCCUGCAACUCUGAACGACUACAAAACACCCUUGGCUUCCAUCCCAUAUGAUGAUGGGAUAUUAACUGAAAAUCUAAUUAAUCUGUGAAUGAAUUAUGGCCUAAGAAAUAUACCAUUUUAUAAUCAAUUUUAAGCGAGUCCCUAACAGAAGAUAAGAUGAAGAAAAAGCUGUAAAAUUGUAAGAGGUUGGUACAUUCUGUUCACUAUGACUGAUGAUUUUAAGGGGGAUAAUUUUACAAUCCAUCACAUUUUUGUCAUUUUAAAAAUCAUGCCUCCCAAUGAAUGUUGUAAAUUAACUUUAGAAUUUACAUAUUUAUUAAAAAUUGUAUAGAAAACAGCAGGAACUGUGCCCCAUUUGAAUAAUAAAAUAACUUGUUAUUCCACUGAAGACAAAAACACACAAAAAAAUCAAAAGAUUUUAUUUUCAGGUAAUAAUCAUAUUAAUUGCUAUCUGAAUUAGUUAAACCAAGAAUUAAUAUUCACCAGAGGCAGUGACACAGCAUUAAAGAUAAUCCUCCAAAUUCCCAUUUUCAAACAUGUCUCAGAACAUGUAAAAGCAAGGGAAAGACAAAUGGGGAGGUGAGGACCAUGUUCUUAGCCUGCGGGGUUGGGCAGCAGCAGAUGUUUGAAGCUGAGCUACAUCACCUGGGGGAAGGGGAGGUGCAGACAGCAAAACACAUGAUUUGGCUCUGAGAUGAAGAAGCACAGGACUUCAUUUUAAAAGCCUCUUUGCUUGUGAGGCUGAGGUGGGCAGAUCGUUUCAGACCAGGAGUUCGAGAUCACCCUGGGCAACACGGUGAGACUCUAUCUCUACAAAAAAUACAAAAAUUAGCUGAGUGUGGUGGCAGGCACCUGUGGUCCCACCUACUUGGGAGGCAGAGGUGGGAGGAUUGAUCAAGCCCAGGAGAUUGAGGCUACAGUGAGCCGUGAUGGCACCACUGUACUCUAGCCUGCGUGGUGGAAUGAGACACCAACUCAAAAAAAAAAAAAAAAAAAAGCCUCUUUCCAAAAAGAUUCUCUACUCUACUUCUCCUACUUUGGUUGAACUCCCUACCCAGAAUGGAAGGUUUGCUGGAGGCAACAGAACAUCCCAGAUGACUCCAGAGCAUGCAGGGAAAUAACCAGAAGGGCAUGGAACCAUGCCACAUAACAUGUGGGUGAAUACAACCAUUCACUCUAGAUUAACCUCAUAAUGGACUGUCAACUCAAAGAACUGGCUCCAAGAUAGGAACUGCAUGGAUUCAUCCACAGAAGGAUGAAGGGGUCAAGGGGAAUAGAACUGGUGUGUUACCACAUGUACUCACUAGUAAGAGUAACCCAUUGGGCUGAACUGACACAAGAUGUUCUCUUGAAAUUCCUGAGAGAUGAGGGAGAAGGAUAAUGCAGUACAUGUUUUUCAUGAACUUCAGUUUAAUCAUGAUUCCUUCUUUCCAUGAGGGAUUCAUGAUAGGCUGUUACCACUAUUUUUAAGAAAAGAGCAGAGAUCCUUCAUGAAGUACUGUAGUUGAGUGUGAGGCUUGGCUCACACUGCCUCUGCUACUCAGAGUUCAUUGCUUCAGUGCAGACAUGGCUAAUACCUGGCACUUGUGCGGCAACCAACUCCUCUCAUGCCCACAGCAGGCAUUGCUUAUCAGUCUCUGUCAUCUGUCAUCUGUCAUCCCAAGCAUGGAUAGGGCCUCAGAAUCCUUCUUAACACCACAAUUCAGGCAACCUCUGUCUAUUGAUUGUCCUUGGCAUUUGAGAUGAAAGCUAUCUUGCAUCCUUGUGUGUGUGUGUGUGUAUUUAUACAUGGGAAAUAUUUAUAUAUUAUCAGCAUAUAAUUAAAUCUAGCUAGCUAUAUAUUACAUCUAUAUACAGAGAUCCAAAUACCUAUAUUAUAUCUAACUGUCUGCUAAUGGUGUAGUCAUAUUCCUUAGUAUCUGCAGCUAAUAUGAGAUAUAGAUUGAUAUCUUAGUAUAUGAAAACUUGAAGUCACCUUUGACUCUUCUCUUUGUCUCAUACUCCACAUCUACCAGUCUUCUGGUAAAUUGCCUGUUUGUUCUCAGAAACAGCAAGUCCUUGAAUAAUAUCCUUUUGUUCAAUGUUAUUUUUUUAUAACAUUGAUGAGAAAAAAAAAUCAAUUCCUGCCAGGCCACUGUCUGUGUGGAGUUGGUAUGUCUCCCCAUGUCUGUGUGGGUUUUCUCCAGGGACUUCAGGUUCCUCUCACAUCCCAAGGCUAUGCGUGAGAGAUAAAUUGGUGUGUCUACAUGGUCCCAGCAUCAGUGAGCAUAAGUGUUCUGCAAAGGAACUGUGUCCUGUCCAGGGCUGGUUCCUGCUUUGUGUCCUAACUGCUGGGAUAGAUUCCAGCCACCUGCAACCCUGAGCUGGAAUAAUUGGGAAAAUAAUGGACUUACUUGUUUUUAUUCACCUUUCUUAAGUACGUGUACAGUUCACAUGUGUUUCAAUGUUUAAUAUUAGAAGUGUUCUGGUCUCUGUUUAGAAGUUUAGUAAUGUUUCUGUGACCAGGAAUAUGCCCUAGGAACUCAGCUCUUGCUUGUAUCAAUUAGCCUCGGAUAAAGUUGGUUUCUUUAUAUGUUGUUUUGCCUAAAGUCACAGCUUCUGAGAACCUACAACUUUAAGCAAGGACUUACUGUGCAUUCUUCUCCUUUCCCCUGCUCCACUCUGCACCAUAGGAACUACAUUUUCCAGGCUCCCUUUAUUUCUGGCUUCUGGGAAGGUUCAGCCAAUGGGAAGCAAUAGCAGAAGGCAGAAGCCUGGACAGUAAGAGGAGGGGGGGAAACAAGGCAUUUCUCCCCUUCUCUGUGUCCUGUGCUGUUCCUAGCAGCACCCACUUCUCCCUCACUGCUCUAACUUCCACCAUGUGCCCCUUCCCAUCCAUGGUUUUAGCUUCCAUUGGACAGUCCAGCUUCUAGACUCUAAUGUCACUCUGCCAUUUCCCUCCAUCCUUAAAGAGGGUGGUGACUUCCUGCUCUGCUAAUUUCUAGAUCAUGACUGUCUCCUGUUGAGUAUCUCAGCUAUUCCAUUAUUUGGAUAAGCCGUUUACUGUAUUGAAUUCCCUCUACUGAAAGGCCUAAAAUAGUUCCCAUUCCAUGCUAGGCCCUGACCAAUACAAUCAGGAAAUUCUGUUUGUGCAACUUUAAUCCAGUCAUUCUUCACCAUUUGUUUUUUGCUACCAUCAGCUCUUGCCUAGAUGACCACAUUAGUUUCCCAACUGUGCUUCCACUCUCUCCUCCUGAUAGCCUGUUCUUCAUACAAAAGCCAAGGCAUCCCUUAGAAACUGUAAAUCAGGUCAUCCCACUCCCCUGUUAAAACUCCUCAGAUGGUUUCCCUUUGCUGACAAUGAAUCCUAAAAUUCUCCCCACAGCCUAUAAGGUCCGAUAUAAGUGGCUCCUAGAUUCUUCUCCACACUAUUUCUCUUCCUCUCUGUGGUUCUGCUCCAGCCAUAAUGGUCCAGGGACACGUCACACAUACCCCUCCUUCAGGGCCUUUGCACUUGCUAUACCCGCUACCUAACAUGUUCCUCUUUCGAUUAGUCACGUUUCAGUGUUUCACUUCAUUCAAACCUGACAGAGCAAGAGAAUCACCAUCUUGGACAAGCACCGCCAUUUUAAAAUGCCCCUUGAUCAAAAACCACCUAAAUCCAAAGGGCAUCAGCCUAAUGGCUAAGAUCAGCAUGACCAUAAAUCACAAAUGACAUCUCCGACCAGAAACAUUCCAACAAUAAGAUAAACCCCUCCCUGACUGGAGGGAUGUCAGCCCCAAGAUAGCCUCUCCUCCAACCACAGACAUUCCCACCCUGCAAUAAACUUCUCCCCGCCACAGAAAUAUUCCAAGCCCGUGAUAAGUUCUCUCACCCUGAACCCUUAAAUACUAUUAGUCUGUAAGAGAGAGCACUCUUGACAAAAAUUGGCCAGAAGCCCCUGUCAGGUUUAUUCUCCAAAAUAAACCUGUCUUUGACCUUUCAGCUGCUUUUCAUGUUUCUUUCCUUUCUUUACCUCUUACAAAACCUCUGUUCAAAUGUCCCUUCUUCAGAAAGGCCUUUCCCAAUCAGUCACUCUGAAGCCAUGCCCUCAUUAUAUCCCAUCUAUGAAGCCUGCUUGAUUUUAUUUUAUUUUAUUUUAUUUUAUUU
This 8800-nucleotide long non-coding RNA is filed under the name Homo sapiens (human). RNAcentral's name for it is "HSALNT0305922". Lineage: Eukaryota; Metazoa; Chordata; Mammalia; Primates; Hominidae. The record is from RNAcentral.